CUUAGAACCACCGAGAUGCGAGAUCCAUCAUGUGGUCGUGCGCAGAAGUAGUUGCGCUCCCUCCGAGCCCCACCCCCUCGACUAUAAAUAAACGUGUUCUACGCACGCCAGUCUCUUUCAGCCAUGAUGUUCGACUCGUGUUUCUCUGGGGAGGGGUUUUUUAUAUGCAGAGACAAGUCUGGGAGAUACCUGGGGACCCCCUCCUCCAAGAUUUCUCCUAGAUAGGAGGUUAAGAAGAGGACUUUAGAGCAUGUCUAUUAAAACGUGUGGUAUUUGGGAGUUGUACAUAGGAUUUUUUUUUUUAACUCAAGGCUGCUGAUACCUUUUUUUAAACAAGUUUCUUUUUAAUGGGUAUUUCUCCAGCUCUUAAAGAGCAUGACUGUUACAGAUCUUGGUAUGGGUAAGUCAAGUGUUUCACAAGGAUUAUUCAAGUGCACAGUGAAAGGGGAUCAUGAUAUCUCCCCAAACUGCAAAGGUCAGUGGUAGAAAAAGGAAAAUGCCCAAGUACUGAUAGUCUUUUGUUGUAGCCUAAUUCUCAUAAAAGUAGCCACCUUCAGAGGUGAGGUAUAUAGGCAACAACUAUUGAUAAAUAUGUUGAUACACUGAAAAGCACAAUUCCAGAAUUGCAGAAAAUCUCAAGUGGAGUGCUGCAGUAUUUUCUUGUACCAUGCCACAUUUCCCAAAAUAGUAAAUUUGUCCAAGAGAUGGAGAUAAAUGUGCCUCAAUGGCAUGAGAGCUCACCCGAUUUAACCCCAUUGAAAACUUGUGGCAUAAGAAUCGAAGCUAGACUUGAAGAAAUGGACUGCUUCUCAAAGGCACAUUUGAUAGCCAAUGUUUUUUAAAAGUGGUUUCAUGAUGAAUUACAGAAUGUGUCAAUUCUAUGGCAAAUUGUGUAAAACAAGUGAAGCAAAAGGACAUGUUGCUUUCUAAAAGUUGAAUAUUAGAGAUGUGGAAAGUUGUAUGGUUUGUGUGUACAUUCAAUAAAUUUUAUUUUAUUUACCCUCA
This 1005-nucleotide long non-coding RNA is filed under the name Monodelphis domestica (gray short-tailed opossum). RNAcentral describes it as "lncRNA (ENSMODG00000031144.2)". Lineage: Eukaryota; Metazoa; Chordata; Mammalia; Didelphimorphia; Didelphidae. The record is from RNAcentral.